RNAcentral lists this ribosomal RNA (274 nucleotides) under uncultured bacterium. RNAcentral's name for it is "partial 16S ribosomal RNA". It matches the Rfam family "Bacterial small subunit ribosomal RNA", at positions 523 to 796 of the family's 1533-position model. The record is from RNAcentral.
AUACGGAGGGUGCAAGCGUUGUUCGGAAUCACUGGGCGUAAAGGGCGCGCAGGCGGUUUGGUAAGUCAGAUGUGAAAGCCCACGGCUCAACCGUGGAAGUGCAUUUGAAACUGUCAGACUUGAGUACUAGAGGGGAAAGUGGAAUUCCCGGUGUAGAGGUGAAAUUCGUAGAUAUCGGGAGGAAUACCGGUGGCGAAGGCGACUUUCUGGCUAGAUACUGACGCUGAGGCGCGAAAGCGUGGGGAGCAAACAGGAUUAGAAACCCGAGUAGUCC